UUCGCUGAUGAACGAAAACACACAACUACGAAUUUCUUCACCUGAACCACCGUGUAGAACAAAAUUUUUCAGAGCUUUUUAACACUGAGA
This 90-nucleotide small nucleolar RNA is filed under the name Meyerozyma guilliermondii ATCC 6260. RNAcentral also lists the same sequence under 1 other name. Lineage: Eukaryota; Fungi; Ascomycota; Pichiomycetes; Serinales; Debaryomycetaceae. The record is from RNAcentral.